Molecule: long non-coding RNA, 3031 nt
Filed under: Equus asinus (donkey)
Lineage: Eukaryota; Metazoa; Chordata; Mammalia; Perissodactyla; Equidae
Description: lncRNA (ENSEASG00005035865.1)
Rfam family: tRNA (bases 2666-2737)
Source: RNAcentral
GAAAAAGAUAGGGGGAGGGUGAUGCCAGAAGAUCAGCCCUGAGUGCUUCUUCACUCACCUGAAAGGCUUGGGAGCUAAGAGGAAAGGAUGGGCUGUUCUCUGCUGCCCUCCCCCACUGUCCGGCCAGGACACCUGGGAAAGAUAAAGUGAAGGGCCAAACCCUUCAUUGAAGUACCCUUCACCAAAGUAUCUGUGUGGUGGGCGUUAGUAAGGGGCUGGCCCCACAAAGCACACAGCCAGGGUGCAGAACAAGAUGGUUCAGCCCAUAGAUGCUGCCAAGGGGUCGAGGGCCGAGGCAGAUCAGAACCCUCCGAAGACCACCCAGAGCAGGUACUGAGCCUGCAACUUGACCCCACCAGGUCCUGCCAGGACCCUUGGCAGCCCCCAACGUGAGAGCAUGGCCAAGUGUUAAAAGCAGAGGCUCACAGAGCAGCCCAGGAGACUCUGCAAGUUCCCAGGGCCGGGUCUACUGGCCUUGGACUUUACUCGUGCAGGCGCUUGCCUCAGAGCCCCUUACCUUUUGGGGGUCUUAGGCGGCAGGUAAGAGGGUCUCCUUCCCGGACAUCCUAGGAGGUAACUGGAGAGCAGAAGCUAGACGAGAGGGUAGGGGUAACCUGUUCUUAAAGGCAGGAAGUCCUGGGACCAGCGCUGGCAGGUGUUUUAGGCGUCAGGGACGGCCCUGGUCGCAUUGCCUGGCGCAUCGCAGCACUCAGGCAGGUUGGAAAGACGGUCCCCCUACCCCACCCCUCCAGCCACUCCUCUCAGUGAUGCCUCCUCCGUGAGUCUUCUUGGCCUCAGGAAUUGCUCCCUUGCCUGGGAACUACCACGCGGUCUAGAGAGACCGUGGGCUAUCGAAGAGUCUGGCCCGGGGUUGGCCCUGCCCGUCACUCCAGGAGGAUGGACAGAUGCAGGGACAGAAAGAGGGACUGGAGUUCACCUAGAGGUUUCUUAUUAACUGUCCCCGACCAGCUAAUUCCACCGCUUGUCUUCAAAGCUCUCUGCGCCGGGAGGCUGAGUCCGAGGACGGCGGGCGGAGGCGGGAAGAGUCGAGACCCCAGGUUAUGGAACGGCGCGGAGACAGUGGCCACAGGGAGCGGGAACUCGGGUGCUGAAAGCAGUCCUGGAGGGCUGCGCGGGGGCGAGGCCGAGACCACUCCCUCCUACUUCCCCGACGUUAUUUCCUGGGAGGAGUCGGAGCUGGCGGCCAGCGAGCAGAGAGAUUCCCGGAUCCCUCCUCCAGAGUAUGCAGCACGGGGGCGAGUGGUCCCUGAGCGCGCGCCAGGACCGUUUGGCCUUGAAUCAAGGCGCUAGGGCUGCGGAAAGUCUAGUACGACCUCUAAGGGCGUCCGCGAUGGCCGUCGCAUGUCGGCUCGUUGGUCUAGGGGUAUGAUUCUCGCUUCGGGUGCGAGAGGUCCCGGGUUCAAAUCCCGGACGAGCCCUACUUUGGUUUUUGCGGAGACGAGAGCGUGCCCUAAGGUGCUUGUUAUUGGAACGGCGCUGCGGAGGCUCGACUGGGAAGUGAUAAGAGCGAACCGAGUGCUUCAAGGAGGAGGGCAGUAAGGUCUCUUGUUUUGAGUGGAUACCCCGGUGGCAGGAAGAGGCUCACAGUGCACGGUCCUUCCUAGUGUGCCAGGAAGAACGCAGGCACCUCCAGACUUGGCCAAGACAUUCACUUUCUGCUCCCCUCCUUCCUGCUGGGUGCUUCUCCUGUGCCACCAGAGCCUGGUUUCGGUUUGAUUGAUGCCUGUCAACCUAUAGUAGUGGAUGACAGGUCGUGAAAUGAAGUGAGACCUCUUCAGGGUGGUGUUUGUGAGACCCCAGGGACUUUCAGGACUCAGGUCUUUGCAGCCUUGCAGCCCGUCUGUCUCUCGGUCACUCCUGCUCGUUACUACCCUUCUGGGGACUCACGCUCAGGUAGGGUCUAGAACGCGCAUGGUUUUCGGGACAGCAUUUCGUAGCGCUCGGAAGGACAGAAUCCUCAGGAACCUUGCCGGUAGCGCGCUGAGUGAAGGUAUCAGAUCUAGCGUUUGGGGAGGUGUUUCGCUAGCUCAGUCCUCGUUAGUAUAGUGGACUUAGAUACGUCGGCAGAGUCGUGGCCUGGGAGAUGUAACUUGGGGUCUGAACCAGAGCCCAGCAAGGGGUAAACGCGAGGAAGGCCGAGACACAACGGCUGCGGUCUGCGGGGCACGCACGUGUGAGCGGCGCUCGGCUCCCAUCACCGCCGGUGCGCUCCAGUCACCCCACGAGAGACUGUGUGAUUCUACCCAGUCGACAGAGGGGGAAACCAAGGUCCAGAGAAGUUAAGUGAAGGGGUUUUCUGGCAGAGCUGGGAUUCAACCGUAAGAUUUUCUAGGGGCCCAGAUCUGCAUCGACAUAAUGGCUCUAUCAUCCCCCAAAAUAAAUCCCGAACACAUAAAAUCGCUUCUCUGUUGCGUGACCUCAGUGUGUCCCAAGAUUAAAGAAUCGGGCCUUAAACCAAGUGCGCCCAAGCCCAAUUUGUCCAGAGGAGGAUGUUUAAUUCCCUUGUGCGCGCGCAUCUAGUCUGCCAGCCGCUCUGAGAAACACGUGGACAAAAAUCUUCGGGGCGAGGUCUGAGAAUCAAACUCCGCCCCUAUUGCUGAUGAUGUGUCUGUUCACGAGACCCGUCAAGCGGCGGCCUCCAGAAGGCCUCGUGGCGCAACGGUAGCGCGUCUGACUCCAGAUCAGAAGGUUGCGUGUUCAAAUCACGUCGGGGUCAAAAGGUCAUUUGUUUUCCGUAUCUGGAUAGACUGACUCGCUGUAAGAUAUUUCAAUAAAGAAAAAAGCACCUGCUUUUACUAUAUGAGGAAAAUAUGAACCUGAGUGUUUCUGUGUUUUUUUUCCUAAAGUUACAUGAAUUUUCCCCUAAAACAAAAAUUUUAGAACUUUUCACCUUACUGUUUCCGUAAAAUCAAUUAAAAUAACCUUUCAUCUCAUGGAUGUUUUAGGUAUGCUAACACAGAAAUUGUUUCCAAACAGCCCCCAAUUCUUGUUCCUAAAAUGUAUGUGGAGC